UUCUUUAAUCAAUUUUCAGCUGAAAAGAAAGGAGAAAAGGCUCACAACCCAAUUCCUAAACACCUCUUUCCCAUGCCCAACCAACCGACCACCGGCCCAAAACCCGCAAACCACCCCACCCCACCUUACAACUUUCCCCUUUAAUCGAUUAAACCGCAGCAAUAUUAGUAAUACAAUACCGACACAACCCCAGCAUCAAUGGUACAAAAACAGUGACAACACCAUCAACCAGGAAUGUUCAGACCAAUGGAUAAUUAAGAAUCCGAUGGUUUUUUGUCUCCCCUCCCAUCUGUCCUCUCAUGUCACCAUCAUCCAUCUCUCUCCAUCAUUUUUCUAAAGAAAAAACUGAGCCAAAAUCUGCAAUUUUGGGAGAAGAUGAGAAAAUUCAAAAAUCCAUCAAAUUCAAGGUGUUUUUCCUUCGAUUUGAAGCUUAAACCGAUGGGUCCAACAUAUCCACCUCUAAUACAUCACUUUCCCUAAAAAUCAACUGAAAAUAUGACCCCUUUCUCUUUCUUAUUUCUCUUCAUCGAUAACUCUCUGAUUUUCUCCUGCAAUUGGUGUUCUCAAGAACAUCAAAAUUCAAAUUUAUUUGAAUUUUUUUAAAGACUUCCUUGAAAAGUCGUUGCAGCCCCUUUACCUAUAAUAGGGGAGUCUUUUUCAUAUGGGAAGAGGAGGGGUUAGCAAUUAUAAAAUUGGCAAAGACAUCAGAAAUUUGUUCUACUAUUUCUUCUUAUUUCUCUUUUCCUCUUUUAAAAAUUGGAGUUCGUGUUUGAAUCUACGACGGAGAAGCCUUAGUUUGUUGCUCCGCAAAGGUCCAUCGGACUUCCAUCUAUUAUAUUUCGUUGGGUUAAAACCAACCUCCACCGAGUCAAUGCCUCCGCGUUUGGGGUCUUAUGGCAUGACUCUGCCCCUGUCCAUAUCAGAGAAGCAAACAAUAAUCGCAUUACGUAUCUCUGUCUAGCAAGCUUUCAAGAAGAGAUCUACUCUACUGUUGUUUGCCGGAGCUGGUGGUGUACAAUCUUUUGAAUCUAAAAACAUCUUCGUUGCAUUCAAUAUUUCAACAAGAUUCCGGCAACCCCCCGAUCUUCUUCUCCAUCAAGCUCAAGCAAAAAACAAGUUUUGGGGUUGUUUCAGAGAUAACUGAUCGUCACGUCGUCACACCAAGGCCUUUGCCGGCUGGAGCAACCAUUUCUCUUCUCUGCUCAACUAUUUGUUUGUUUGGUCAUUGAUUGAUUUACACCGCCAGUCACAAAACCAACGGAGAACCAGUAAACAAAAACCAGCCAAUCACAAAUACCGUUUUGCUCA
Long non-coding RNA from Capsicum annuum, 1308 nucleotides. RefSeq lists it as uncharacterized. Lineage: Eukaryota; Viridiplantae; Streptophyta; Magnoliopsida; Solanales; Solanaceae. The transcript has 4 exons. The record is from RefSeq and is a predicted model, not a curated record.